RNAcentral lists this ribosomal RNA (301 nucleotides) under uncultured bacterium. Its description in RNAcentral is "partial 16S ribosomal RNA". It matches the Rfam family "Bacterial small subunit ribosomal RNA", at positions 509 to 808 of the family's 1533-position model. The record is from RNAcentral.
CAGCCGCCACGGGAAUACGUAGGUGGCAAGCGUUGUCCGGAAUUAUUGGGCGUAAAGGGCUCGCAGGCGGUUUCUUAAGUCUGAUGUGAAAGCCCCCGGCUCAACCGGGGAGGGUCAUUGGAAACUGGGAAACUUGAGUGCAGAAGAGGAGAGUGGAAUUCACGUGUAGCGGUGAAAUGCGUAGAGAUGUGGAGGAACACCAGUGGCGAAGGCGACUCUCUGGUCUGUAACUGACGCUGAGGAGCGAAAGCGUGGGGAGCGAACAGGAUUAGAUACCCGCGUAGUCCCUGUCUCUUAUACA